AGAGUUUGAUCCUGGCUCAGGAUGAACGCUAGCGGCAGGCCUAAUACAUGCAAGACGAACGGUAAGUUGAGUAGCAAUACUUAGCCAAGAGUGUCGUACGGGUGCGUAACACGUAUGCAACCUACCCUAUACAGGAGGAUAGCCUAGGGAAACCUGGAUUAACCCUUCAUAGUAUUAUUGGAUGGCAUCAUUUGAUAAUUAAAACUGAGGUGGUAUGGGAUGGGCAUGCGUCUGAUUAGUUAGUUGGCGGGGUAAUGGCCCACCAAGACGAUGAUCAGUAGGGGUUCUGAGAGGAAGAUCCCCCACACUGGCACUGAGAUACGGGCCAGACUCCUACGGGAGGCAGCAGUAGGGAAUAUUGGUCAAUGGAUGCAAGUCUGAACCAGCCAUGCCGCGUGCAGGAAGAAGGCCUUCUGGGUUGUAAACUGCUUUUGCCAGGGGAUAAAAUUUCCAUGCGUGGAAAACUGAAGGUACCUGGUGAAUAAGCCACGGCUAACUACGUG
Molecule: ribosomal RNA, 503 nt
Filed under: uncultured bacterium
Lineage: Bacteria
Description: bacterial SSU rRNA
Rfam family: Bacterial small subunit ribosomal RNA
Source: RNAcentral